This is a non-coding RNA of Camellia sinensis, 1116 nucleotides long. The record is from RefSeq and is a predicted model, not a curated record. NCBI's taxonomy places the organism in Eukaryota, Viridiplantae, Streptophyta, Magnoliopsida, Ericales, Theaceae.
CACAUUUAUUCUCUCUCUCUCUCUCUUUCUUCUCCUUCUCUCUCCUUUCUCUCUAGCGACAACCAGCACCACCAGCGACCACCACCAGCCACUGCCCCUCCGAUGAUGUUAGUUACACGAGCACCAAUCGAUUGAUUCCGAGCUUGGCAUUUGAUUCUAAUUCCGAGCCUUGGAUUAAUUCGGUGAGAGCCUUUGAUUAAUUUGUUUUAUUUCAACUUUACUCAAGCAGCAAGGAUUCAUAGAGAGACAGGAGCUUAUGAACAAAAGGCGACCUCUGCUUUCUGAAGCAACACUGUUUAUUGUUGUUGAUCUAAUCGUGGGAGUGUAUGAGGGCUAGGAUUUGGGGCAUUACCAUCUAAGGUAGACGCACAAGUACACCAAAAUGAGCACAUGAGAAAACUUGAAAGCAAGGUGCUGGACUUAGAACAACAACUCGAUGAGAUAAGAGCCAUGCUUAUCAAAGAAAGAAGGUAAAAUGAUGGUACCAAUCCCUCCCAAAGAAGCUCCAAUCUACUCCUCAUGACAACCUUCCAACUUCAGUGAAUGAAGUUGGUUAUGUUACUGAAAACAUUGAAGCUAUGAAAUUAUCUAAAUGUGGUGGUUCUUCAAUUGCAAACCUUCCAACUGGUUUAGAUAUGGAUCAAAGUAAUGGUGUGUCGAGCUUAGCAAAUGUCAAAUGUAAGUUGUUGCAUUGGAAGGGGUCAAACUUGGUGGUUGCAGAAGGCCAAAUUGCAUCAAGGGAUCCCAAGCCAAAGGUGCAUCAUGCAAUUCUUGGACCUUUGUGUUGGAAAGUAUGGGUGAACCACGUAACAAUCAACGUGCCGUUGUUUCGUUCUACUCAUGAGAUGUAUGAUCUUCAAGAUGCAAUAGGAAGUACAGUUGCAUGGCCUAGUCAAUUCAUUUUUUUGGACGAAAUAUUGGACUAAUUGAUUUACAAUUUGUAGUUAUACUUUUUGGAUGUUUAAAGUCGUAUUUUAGAGAUUAGUGAAUCUUAUGAUUUGGAUACUUUUUUUGAUUUGUAUGUUUGAGGUUGUUAUCAGUUUGAUAUGAUAGAAGUUAAGGAUAAAAGUUAGUAUGCAGGUUGUUUGGUGUAUGGAUAUUAGAUUUUUUUGCUUA